Molecule: ribosomal RNA, 475 nt
Filed under: uncultured bacterium
Lineage: Bacteria
Description: bacterial SSU rRNA
Rfam family: Bacterial small subunit ribosomal RNA
Source: RNAcentral
AGAGUUUGAUCAUGGCUCAGAUUGAACGCUGGCGGCAUGCCUUACACAUGCAAGUCGAACGGUAACGGGCCUUCGGGUGCCGACGAGUGGCGAACGGGUGAGUAAUGCAUCGGAACGUACCUUCAGUGGGGGAUAACGUAGCGAAAGUUACGCUAAUACCGCAUAUUCUGUGAGCAGGAAAGCAGGGGAUCGCAAGACCUUGCGCUGAUUGAGCGGCCGAUGUAAGAUUAGCUAGUUGGUGAGGUAAUGGCUCACCAAGGCGACGAUCUUUAACUGGUUUGAGAGGAUGAUCAGUCACACUGGAACUGAGACACGGUCCAGACUCCUACGGGAGGCAGCAGUGAGGAAUUUCCACAAUGGGCGAAAGCCUGAUGGAGCAACGCCGCGUGCAGGAUGAAGGCUUUAGGGUUGUAAACUGCUUUUAUAUGUGACGAAUAUGACGGUAGCAUAUGAAUAAGGAUCGGCUAACUCCGUG